Phyllostomus discolor (pale spear-nosed bat) is the source of this 4442-nucleotide long non-coding RNA. RefSeq lists it as uncharacterized. Lineage: Eukaryota; Metazoa; Chordata; Mammalia; Chiroptera; Phyllostomidae. The transcript is spliced from 3 exons. The record is from RefSeq and is a predicted model, not a curated record.
UAAAGGGAGCUGAAAAGGCAAGGGCAUGUCUAUAAGGGAGAGGAAGAGGAGAAGCCAGGAGGUAAAAAAUAUCACAACUGAAAAAACAACCCCCAAUGAAUAACAGGUGGCACCAGGUCAUCUAUGGGGAUAACUUGUUGAUUCUGGUCGAGUGUUGGGCUGCAAAAGUGUUCUUGAAAGAAAUAUUUCCUUUUAUUUUCCAGAAAGCUACUAUCUUUCAGUUAUUUAUAUCCCAUGCCAAAGAGGAAAACAGUACGACAGUUCUGCAAUCUGUCACUGGACCUAGUGCAAAUGCUGGAAGAUCCUACCAAGUAGCCAAAUGUGGCCUGAAAGCACCUGUGCCAUUUUGGCUGCUGUUACUGCAAAAAUACCAGAAACUAGCAACUUCAUGGAUUUAAUUGGAAAUGAAGGAACUGUAUUGAGAAAUAACAUCUCUCCAUGUAAGAAGCGAAGAAAAGGCAUGUUUCUCUUUUCUGUGUAUUAUUAGAAUGUGUCUGCCUUCCUCAGCACAUCAGCACUAAUGAUGCUGAAGUCCAUAAAAGAUAAUUGCCUUGAGUCAUUCUCUAGCCCCAGAGAAGGUAAGAUUAAUAAAGAACAUUUGUUAUAAUUUUGCAUCCAAUUUAUGUAAUGGAACACAUAAUAAAUAACCACAUUUAACACAAGUAUUCAUCAAAGUCAAUUUACACAUCUAUUUGUUCACUAUAUGUUAAACUGAACAUUUAUAAGAAUAAGUUGGUUUCUUUCUCUGUUUCCAUUUCUCUCUAUGAAAGUAAAAAUUAUUGUUAGAUAUGGUAAUUUUUGGCUUUUAUACAGGCAGCAUUGAUAGUGAUAUAUGUGACUUCUUAGCUGUUGCUACACGAUGUACAGUUUUGCACAGCAUGUUACUUCUGUCUGGACUAGGCGGAAAGUAUUGUUUUAAAAAUAUAAAACCAUUGUUGAUAGCCUAUUCUUUUCUCAGUAACUUGUCACUUCAGGUGAACAUAGUUUAUAAGAGAAGUUGUGGAUUUCCAUGGACUGCCACCUCUUAAUUACUUACAGUAAAGGAGACAGAGGCAGUCCAGUGCAUUAAAUUGACAGUAUCUCCAAGCAUUUUUUAAAACCAUUUUCAGUGUACCCUAGUUCCAAGCUUUAGCCAAUGUCAUCCCUUUUUCCAUUUUUUAUCUACCUGCUUCUGCAAGGAUAAGAUGACUCUCACCCAUGUAUACCCUAGAAAAUGCAGCCACUACACAGUCAUUUACAAACCUGCAGAGCAGAAACAAAUGGAUCCACAAUCUUACACUGACACAGAACAAUUGAGGUCAGAAUUAUUGGUAAUGUCUGUAAGGAACUUCUACAAGAAAAAGAUCAAGGCCAUAAAUGCUUGGUGGUUCCCACUGUUGUUGGCUGAAUAAUGGCCCCCUGGACAGGUCCAUAUCCCAAUCUCCUCCCGGGAGCCUAUGAAUGUGUUAUCUUACAUGGCAAAAGGGAAUUGGCAGAUGUAAUUAAAUCAAGGUUCUUGAGAUGAGGAGAUUAUCCUGGCUUAUCCAGAUGGCCCCAGUGUAAUUAUAAGGUUCCUUGUGUGAAGGAGGUGGGAGGGUUAGAGUUGGAAAGAUGGAAGUAUGAAAAUAGAAGGAGAGGUGGGAGUGAUGCAAGGUCAUGAGCCAAGGCAUAUGAGCAGCUUCUAGAAGCUGGAAAAGGCAAAGAAACAGAUUUUCCCCUAGAGGCGCCAGAAGGAAUGGAGUGCUGCCAACAACUUGAUUCUAGCCCACUGAGACUGCUUUUGGAUUUCUGACUUCCUGAAGUAUAAGGUUCCAGGGUCUGCCAUGAAGAACCUUGAACAACAAACCAUUUAAUUCAGCAAAAAAGGCUUUCAUGGCACAAAGAAAGAGAAGACAACUAUAAGAAGUAAACGUUUUUUGACAGUUGAUUUUCUUCUGAGUGUGGCCAUUAAUCCUGCUGUCAGCGGGAAUGAAGACACUUCCUGAGGAAGGUCUAAAGCAGUUUUCAUAAUGCUGAGCCGUGGUAGCAUGCAAAUGAGAGCGUGACUUCGGGCCCUCUCACCUGCUGUUUAACGUUGCUGCAAACCUGUUCUAGAACUUCAGUAAAAUAAGUUUUUUAAUCUAACCUACAGAAAAUAUACUUCUUUUUAGGAGACAAAUGAGACCACAGAAAAUCCAAGGUAUUUUUAUUUACUAUUUUUUAAAAAAUAUUUGUGGAGGAAGAGGGUAGAUUCAAUGAAGAAAGUGAGACAUGAAGAAAAGUCAGUUUAAGUCUCCCAUCCCAACCCCUUUACAAGAACAAAACAACGCAUUUCCCACAGGCAUUGCUUUAUUCCCUCAUAACUGGCUUACACGUAGCCAAAAUGCCCUUUAGUUGUCUUGUUACCCCAGCACUAUUCAGAUCUCUCUGCACAGCACAGUGCGGCCAUCUGUCUCUAUGACGGUCCUUGUCAGACCCAGUAAUGCCGGCCACCUCAAGUGGUUUCUUUCUCACUGCCAACCAACCAUGGCUUCCCUGCCGAGUUUUCCUUUACAUCAUGGCCAGAGAUAAUGCCAGUUGUACCAAGGCCCUGUCAGGUUCCCUUGCAACAUACACUUCAUCCUUCUUCCAAUAUCAAUCUGAACUCAUUACUGCUAAUCCAAAAGCCACCUCCAAGUUACCAAGUAGCUGUCCUACCCUUCCCUUCAUCCAUGAUUCUCCUCACUACUCUUCCUUUAAGUCAUUGGAGUGGGAUAGUGGGCUCAGAAGCACGUUAGCUCUUCUUGAUUUCCUUCAAGCUUCAAAUGACUUCAAAUCAAUACAUAUUGGACACAGUCUUCUUUUCAUGCAAGUGUAGAUUCAAGACAAAUUCCCUAGUUGCCCUUUCUUAUCAGAUAGUUACCCCAGGCCCUUUCUUUCUAGAUAUGGCAAAGCCACUAUGAAAUUAUGUGGACAUUCCCAGCCCUACACUCAGUGACACUGACAUUUGAUCAGUACACAUUCACCAGGCUGCUUUUUGUAAAAGACCACUAAGUUGUAUACUUUGGGGGGUGGAUGUGGAUACACACAUCUUAAGGCCCUUGCAUGCCCUGCUACAGAGGAACAUCUUUUUAUGUGUCCUGUGGCCUGCCGACCCUGGCCUAUACUAUCAUAUGUAAACACGUCCCCUCUCAUUGGUCAGCUCUCACUCAUUCUGCCAUAAGUCAGCAUAGAUGAAUGAACAAUGCUCAGUUUGGAAUAAGAAAGACUUAAGAUUAAAUUCUGGCUGUCCUACUUAUAAAAUGUGUAAUAUUGAGCUAAUCACUUAGCUUAUUUGUGUUGUGGUGCUCUCAAAUGUAAAAGCAGAAGUGGCAUGUCACGAUUAAGUUGAUAUUUUGAUGUGACAAUUAAAAUUUAAAUGAGAUAAAAGAUGUAUUACCUGCCACAUAGUUACUAUUAUAUGUUCAAGUAAAUUACAUAUUAUUUUCUGUAUUAUUAAGCAAUCAGAUUUACUUUCAUAGAGUUGGCACAUUUCAUCCAAUAAUAGAAGCCUGGGAGCAUAGGGUUAAUCCAGAUUAAAAACAGACAAAAUGCACAUCCCAUUCAGUGCAUCAGUCAGCAGGAAAAGUCAGGUGAGCCAGUUCUACUUUCAGGUUGCAUAUUGCUGAAAUCCAAAUUAAUAAUGUUUAUUUUAAAUGUAGGUAUGCAGGAUGCCUGGAGCAUAAGGAAUGAAUCACAUAAAAUCAAUAAGUAGUGUAGUGGCAUUUAUUAGAACAAAAAUUUUCAGGAACAGGCAGAAUCUUCUACUUUCUUAGACACAUGUAGAAAUUUGUGGCCUAUCUUUCAGAAAAUUACUAUUUAUCAGACUAGUCGAUUUCUGCCUGCCUUCUUUUGUUCCCUCAAUGCUCUUAACCUAGCUCCUAAGUAAAUCAGGUUGUUUCUUCUCUAUAAUCAUUGGAAUACAGAUAUUUAGUCUGUCAUUCACCUCCCACUUCCAAUCCUUUUCCUAAAAGUGGUGUGUGUCAAAAACCACUUUCUGCCUUAGUAUUUGGGAGCCUUGUGUCACUGUAGAAAAAUGCCCAUUGUCUGUUGUUACUGUUGGGCGUAAAUGAAGCUGAUGUAUUUUGGAAACUACCUGUCCAAAGCUACUAUACUUUGACUAAUGGAUCUGAACAGUGCUGUCAAUCUUAUUCUCUUCUUUGUUUGAAGGUGCUCAGUGGCAAAACAGUGGUUCAUUUUUCUAGGUAACCCAUGUAGUAUAAUGCAGUAGCCUAAAAGCAACUUAGUAUUGAUGCAACAUUCUUUGUUAGCUUUGGGCACUUCCAAGAUUGGAGGUAAAAUAACUAAAUUUGGAAUAUCAAUAUUUAGGGUUUUUUUCAUUUAUUUCUUUACAUAUAAUAUGAGGUGAAUAAUCACUCACCAACCCAGGUAUGAUUCAACUGUCUGGCCCAGCAAAGUGCAUCAAUAUGUCCUUAGAGCUACCAGCACCAGCAGUCCUCCCUUCU